This 220-nucleotide long non-coding RNA is filed under the name Elaeis guineensis (African oil palm). Its description in RNAcentral is "long non-coding RNA (EGUI_LNC045122)". The record is from RNAcentral. Lineage: Eukaryota; Viridiplantae; Streptophyta; Magnoliopsida; Arecales; Arecaceae.
GAUUGGGAACCAGCUCGUCACCAACAUCGAGGCGGCGAAGAUCGCCAAGAAGGAGGCAGCUCGGGCAGAAGAGGGUCGUCUAGCCGGGGCUGCCCGCCUUGAGGAGAAGAUCACCAAGGUCCUAAGCCUCCAAGAGGCACUGGAAAAGGAGGGACAAACCUCAUCCGAUCUAAGGACCGCCUUGGAGGAGGAGAGAGGGAAGGCUGAGGUCGAGGUCUCC